RNAcentral lists this ribosomal RNA (483 nucleotides) under uncultured bacterium. RNAcentral's name for it is "partial 16S ribosomal RNA". It matches the Rfam family "Bacterial small subunit ribosomal RNA", at positions 30 to 506 of the family's 1533-position model. The record is from RNAcentral.
AUUGAACGCUGGCGGCAGGCCUAACACAUGCAAGUCGAGCGGAUGAAGGGAGCUUGCUCCUGGAUUCAGCGGUGGACGGGGGAGUAAUGCCCAGGAAUCUGCCUUGUAGUGGGGGAUAAGGUCCGGAAACGGGCGCGAAUACCGCAUACGUCCUGAGGGAGAAAGGGGGGGAUCUUCGGAUCGCACGGUACGAGAGGAGCCUAGGUGGGCUUAUCUAGUUGGAGGGGUAAAGGCCUACCAAGGCGGAGAUCCGUAACUGGGCUGAGGGGAGGAUCAGUCACCCUGCAGCUAGGACGCUGUCCCACCUCCUACGGGAGGCACCGGUGGGACUUCUUGGACAAUGGGCGGAAGCCUAAUCCAGCCAUGCCGCGUGUGUGAAGACGGUCUUCGGCUUGUAAAGCACUUUAAGUUGGGAGUAAGGACGCUCAGUUACUCCCUUGCUGUUUGAACGUUCCCAACAAAAUAGCCACCGCCAACCUUCGU